RNAcentral lists this ribosomal RNA (254 nucleotides) under uncultured bacterium. RNAcentral describes it as "partial 16S ribosomal RNA". It matches the Rfam family "Bacterial small subunit ribosomal RNA", at positions 524 to 776 of the family's 1533-position model. The record is from RNAcentral.
UACGUAGGGUGCGAGCGUUGUCCGGAAUUAUUGGGCGUAAAGAGCUCGUAGGCGGUGUGUCGCGUCGGCCGUGAAAACCUGGGGCUUAACUCUGGGCGUGCGGUCGAUACGGGCAUCACUAGAGUUCGGCAGGGGAGACUGGAAUUCCUGGUGUAGCGGUGAAAUGCGCAGAUAUCAGGAGGAACACCGGUGGCGAAGGCGGGUCUCUGGGCCGAUACUGACGCUGAGGAGCGGAAGCAUGGGUAGCGAACAGG